AUUGGAGGGGAAAUACCAAGUCACAGCCUGAAUCAACAGCUGAACACCAGGAUACCCUUUUCAAGAUGCUGUUGCUCUUUCUGUGAAGAGAAUAGAAAUGAUAGCAGAAAUAUACAGUGCAUGGUCAUGAACCCUGGCUUAUCUGGGACCUUGAAAGAGCCAUCUGUCUCAAAGAAAAGUAAUUCAGUGGGAGAGUGGAAGGAACCAUCACUGUGAGAAUUGGUUGAUCUCACCAGUAUCCAGAAGAUGUGAACGUGUAAGGAAACUGAUGCUGACAGUAUGCACUAACUCAGUUUGGAAUUGCUAAAGCUCUCAGCUAAAUCUGAGAUGAAAUUUGUUGUGCCUUGGAGUUUUUCCCUUCUCAUCUCCUUGGUCUGCUUGUUUAGUUGCUAAGUCAUGUAUUGAGUUUUCCACGAUAUUUUAUGUAUGUGUCUGAAUACUAAUAAUAUCAGAUACUUAUGCAGCAGAAGUUUGAAUGAAGUUUGUCUGUUUCCCUGUGACAUUCUUGUGAAAAAAAUUCUAUGUGGUAGUUCAUGCUCAAUGCUUGUGCUUGGUUGUUCAAGUAGCAGCUGUCUUUGAAUUGCCAGUCUUCUCUUAAAGAAACAUGUCCUGCUCAGCUCUGAAUCAGGUAGCUUAUCUCACCUCUGAGGCUGCACAUCAACCUGAGGUCUGGAGCGAAAUGACUUCUGUGCUAUCAGAUCAAUUUGCUGUGAGCAGCCCACAUCACAAUACUAACACACAUAAUUCAGCUGGCUCUAGCAGUUUAUUCAGUAGAAUGCUAGGCCUACAUCUGUGGGAGCACUGAAUUAUUUCUUCUCUCUGGAGACUGAGAGUCAGAAAAGAUCCCUUCAGGUCAGGACUGAAGUCUCAGAGGGAAGCCAGCAGUGCGGCAGCUAAAUCUUACUUCAGCAUGCUGAGUGUUGAGUAUCCAACACUUUCCAAGGCUAAAACAGUGAAGGUUAAGAGGCUAAUCUUCUCAAGAACAGAUGAUCAUAGAAACUAAUGAGACAUACACAGAUUGCAUGUGGUUUCCUGAUUAUCCUACUUAAUAACUGCUUUCUCUGAAAUUAGGGCCUUUACUCUGUUUGGAAAAUAGUAGCAUUUAUUCUGUGAGUAUCCACAGAUGCAUUUGAUCAGCUGAAAAGAUUUUUUUUAUUAUUAUUUUCCUUCUUAGAAACAGUUGCACUGCCCUUCACAAGCUUAUUUCAUGAUGAAGACACGUUCAACAAAUUUGACAUUUCACACACACGUAACAAGUCAUAUUAAGCACUGUUUUCUUUUAUUGCUGAUAACCAGGGUUAUUUUUGUAGAAAUAAGAUGUAGUUUUAGUAGUACGUCUGUCAAAAUAUUUAACUUUUUGGCCACCAGUCUUGAAGUUGAUGUCUAAUUACUAUUUUUAUUUCUGUUACAAAUAUCUGAAGAAAAGCAGAUG
Long non-coding RNA from Gallus gallus (chicken), 1432 nucleotides. The record is from Ensembl. NCBI's taxonomy places the organism in Eukaryota, Metazoa, Chordata, Aves, Galliformes, Phasianidae.